UCCUACGUGGAAAAGAUGACUGAAUUGCUG
Molecule: non-coding RNA, 30 nt
Filed under: Homo sapiens (human)
Lineage: Eukaryota; Metazoa; Chordata; Mammalia; Primates; Hominidae
Source: RNAcentral